This 459-nucleotide ribosomal RNA is filed under the name uncultured bacterium. RNAcentral describes it as "partial 16S ribosomal RNA". It matches the Rfam family "Bacterial small subunit ribosomal RNA", at positions 338 to 795 of the family's 1533-position model. The record is from RNAcentral.
CCUACGGGAGGCAGCAGUGAGGAAUAUUGGUCAAUGGGCGCAAGCCUGAACCAGCCAAGUCGCGUGCAGGAUGACGGCCCUACGGGUUGUAAACUGCUUUUGUACGGGGGUAACACCCUCCACUUGUGGCGGGCUGCAGGUACCGUGCGAAUAAGGAUCGGCUAACUCCGUGCCAGCAGCCGCGGUAAUACGGAGGAUUCGAGCGUUAUCCGGAUUUAUUGGGUUUAAAGGGGGCGUAGGCGGGCGGUCAAGUCAGCUGGAAAAUCCCGGGGCUCAACCCCGGCCCGCCGUUGAGACUGGAGGUCUUGAGUUGACUAGAGGUAGGCGGAAUGCGUGGUGUAGCGGUGAAAUGCAUAGAGAUCACGCAGAACCCCGAUUGCGAAGGCAGCAUACCGGCGUGCGACUGACGUUGAGGCACGAAAGCGUGGGGAUCAAACAGGAUUAGAUACCCUGGUAGUC